Molecule: ribosomal RNA, 491 nt
Filed under: uncultured bacterium
Lineage: Bacteria
Description: partial 16S ribosomal RNA
Rfam family: Bacterial small subunit ribosomal RNA
Source: RNAcentral
AGUGAACGCUGGCUGUAGGCCUAACACAUGCAAGUCGAACGGCAGCACAGUAAGAGCUUGCUCUUACGGGUGGCGAGUGGCGGACGGGUGAGGAAUACAUCGGAAUCUACUUUUUCGUGGGGAUAACGUAGGGAAACUUACGCUAAUACCGCAUACGACCUACGGGUGAAAGCAGGGGAUCUUCGGACCUUGCGCGAUUGAAUGAGCCGAUGUCGGAUUAGCUAGUUGGCGGGGUAAAGGCCCACCAAGGCGACGAUCCGUAGCUGGUCUGAGAGGAUGAUCAGCCACACUGGAACUGAGACACGGUCCAGACUCCUACGGGAGGCAGCAGUGGGGAAUAUUGGACAAUGGGCGCAAGCCUGAUCCAGCCAUACCGCGUGGGUGAAGAAGGCCUUCGGGUUGUAAGGCCCUUUUGUUGGGAAAGAAAAGCAGCAGGUUAAUACCCCGCUGUUCUGACGGUACCCAAAGAAUAAGCACCGGCUAACUUCGUG